This 439-nucleotide ribosomal RNA is filed under the name uncultured bacterium. RNAcentral's name for it is "partial 16S ribosomal RNA". It matches the Rfam family "Bacterial small subunit ribosomal RNA", at positions 339 to 795 of the family's 1533-position model. The record is from RNAcentral.
CUACGGGGGGCAGCAGUGAGGAAUAUUGCACAAUGGAGGAAACUCUGAUGCAGCAACGCCGCGUGGAGGAUGACGCAUUUCGGUGUGUAAACUCCUUUUAUAUGUCAAGAAAAUGACGGUAGCAUAUGAAUAAGCUCCGGCUAACUCCGUGCCAGCAGCCGCGGUAAUACGGAGGGAGCAAGCGUUACUCGGAAUCACUGGGCGUAAAGGACGCGUAGGCGGGAUAGAAAGUCAGGUGUGAAAUCCUAUGGCUCAACCAUAGAACUGCACUUGAAACUUCUAACCUAGAGUAUGGGAGGGGAAGAUGGAAUUAGAGGUGUAGGGGUAAUAUCCGUAGAUAUCACUAGGAAUACCAAAAGCGAAGGCGAUCUUCUGGAACAAUACUGACGCUAAGGCGUGAAAGCGUGGGGAGCAAACAGGAUUAGAUACCCCCGUAGUC